AGUGAACGCUGGCGGUAGGCCUAACACAUGCAAGUCGAACGGCAGCACAGUAAGAGCUUGCUCUUACGGGUUGCGAGUGGCGGACGGGUGAGGAAUACAUCGUAAUCUACUUUUUCGUGGGGGAUAACGUAGGGAAACUUACUCUAAUACCGCAUACGACGUACCGGUGAAAGCAGGGGAUCUUCGCACCUUUCGCGAUUGAAUUAGCCGCUGUUGGACUAGUUAGUUGGCUGGUUAAAGGCCCACCAGGGGGAGGAUCGGUAGCUGGUGUGAGAGACUGAUAAGCGACACUGGAAGUGAGACACGGUCCAGAGUACUACGGGAGGCAGCAGUGGGGAAUAUUGGACAGUGGGCGCAAGCAUGAUACAGCCAUACCGAGUGUGUGAAGAAGGCGUUCGGGUUGUAAAGCCCUUUUGUUGGUAAAGAAAAGCAGCAGGUUAAUACCACGCUGUUCUGACGGUACCCAAAGAAUAAGCACCGGCUAACUUCGUG
This 492-nucleotide ribosomal RNA is filed under the name uncultured bacterium. RNAcentral's name for it is "partial 16S ribosomal RNA". It matches the Rfam family "Bacterial small subunit ribosomal RNA", at positions 29 to 507 of the family's 1533-position model. The record is from RNAcentral.